AGCUGACGACCGGCGCACGGGUGAGUAACGCGUAUGCAACUUUCCUGUAACUGGAGGAUAGCCCCUGGAAACGGGGAUUAAUACUGCGUAAUACCUAAAUACCGCAUGGUAUUAAGGUCAAAUCUACGGAGGUUACAGAUGGGCAUGCGUGCCAUUAGCUAGAUGGUAAGGUAACGGCUUACCAUGGCAAUGAUGGCUAGGGGUUCUGCAAGGAAGGCCCCCCACACUGGUACUGAGACACGGACCAGACUCCUACGGGAGGCAGCAGUGAGGAAUAUUGGUCAAUGGAGGCAACUCUGAACCAGCCAAGCCGCGUGAAGGAAGACUGUCCUAUGGAUUGUAAACUUCUUUUGUGGCAGAAUAAACUACCGUACUUGUACGGUAUUGCAUGUAUGCCAUGAAUAAGCAUCGGCUAACUCCGUGCCAGCAGCCGCGGUAAUACGGAGGAUGCAGGCGUUAUCCGGAUUUAUUAGGUUUAAAGGGUGUUCAGGCUGCCUGGUAAGUCAGGGGUGAAAGUCGGUUGCUCAACGAUCGAAUUGCCUUUGAAACUGUCAGGCUCGAGUAUGGAUGCGGUAGGCGGAAUGUGUAGUGUAGCGGUGAAAUGCAUAGAUAUUACACAGAACACCGAUUGCGAAGGCAGCUUACCAAACCAGCACUGACGCUGAAGCACGAAAGCGUGGGGAGCGAACAGGAUUAGAUACCCUGGUAGUCCACGCCGUAAACUUUGCUCACUCGCUGUUGGCGAUAGACAGUCAGCGGCCAAGGGAAACCGAUAAGUGAGCCACCUGGGGAGUACGUCCGCUAAGCUUGAUACUCAAAAGGAAUUGACGGGGGCCCUCACAAUCGGUGGAACAUGUGGUUUAAUUCGAUGAUACGCGAGGAACCUUACCUGGGCUUAAAUGUGAAGUGCAUUGAUUGGAAACAAUCAUUUCAUUCGGGACCCUUUACAAGG
This 952-nucleotide ribosomal RNA is filed under the name uncultured organism. RNAcentral's name for it is "bacterial SSU rRNA". It matches the Rfam family "Bacterial small subunit ribosomal RNA", at positions 86 to 1038 of the family's 1533-position model. The record is from RNAcentral.